This 301-nucleotide ribosomal RNA is filed under the name uncultured bacterium. RNAcentral describes it as "partial 16S ribosomal RNA". It matches the Rfam family "Bacterial small subunit ribosomal RNA", at positions 509 to 807 of the family's 1533-position model. The record is from RNAcentral.
CAGCCGCCGCGGUAAUACGUAGGGUGCGAGCGUUAAUCGGAAUUACUGGGCGUAAAGCGUGCGCAGGCGGUUUGUUAAGACAGUUGUGAAAUCCCCGGGCUCAACCUGGGAACUGCAUCUGUGACUGUAUAGCUAGAGUACGGUAGAGGGGGAUGGAAUUCCGCGUGUAGCAGUGAAAUGCGUAGAUAUGCGGAGGAACACCGAUGGCGAAGGCAAUCCCCUGGACCUGUACUGACGCUCAUGCACGAAAGCGUGGGGAGCAAACAGGAUUAGAUACCCGCGUAGUCCCUGUCUCUUAUAC